ACACCGUUGGUGAAGUGGUUAUCAUGCUUGCCUUCCAUUUCCUAGGUGUUUAUAGAUGCAGCAAGCGGCUCGGGUUCGAUUCCCGAACGGUGUA
Molecule: non-coding RNA, 94 nt
Organism: Marasmius tenuissimus
Lineage: Eukaryota; Fungi; Basidiomycota; Agaricomycetes; Agaricales; Marasmiaceae
Source: the annotation of a GenBank genome assembly